UGGGGAAUACUGCACAAUGGGCGGAAGCCUGAUGCAGCAACGCCGCGUGCGGGAUGACGGCCUUCGGGUUGUAAACCGCUUUCGCCUGUGACGAAGCGUGAGUGACGGUAAUGGGUAAAGAAGUACCGGCUAACUACGUGCCAGCAGCCGCGGUGAUACGUAGGGUGCGAGCGUUGUCCGGAUUUAUUGGGCGUAAAGGGCUCGUAGGUGGUUGAUCGCGUCGGAAGUGUAAUCUUGGGGCUUAACCCUGAGCGUGCUUUCGAUACGGGUUGACUCGAGGAAGGUAGGGGGAGAAUGGAAUUCCUGGUGGAGCGGUGGAAUGCGCAGAUAUCAGGAGGAACACCAGUGGCGAAGGCGGUUCUCUGGGCCUUUCCUGACGCUGAGGAGCGAAAGCGUGGGGAGCGAACAGGCUUAGAUACCCUGGUAGUCCACGCUGUAAACGGUGGGUACUAGGUGUGGGGGUCCAUUUCCACGGGUUCCGCGCCGUAGCUAACGCUUUAAGUACCCCGCCU
RNAcentral lists this ribosomal RNA (512 nucleotides) under uncultured bacterium. RNAcentral describes it as "partial 16S ribosomal RNA". It matches the Rfam family "Bacterial small subunit ribosomal RNA", at positions 355 to 874 of the family's 1533-position model. The record is from RNAcentral.